AAACCCAGGCAUCUAUGGAGAGUUUCAAAUGAUGUCUUCAUUAACACCACCACACAACAUUAAGAAUCUACAACAGCAGAGACUUAACUUGUUGCAGCUUGAAUUGUGAAGUUGAAAUAAAAACACAAUUCCCCCUACUAAUUGUGGAGCAUGUGUAUCUUUCACACAUAGAAUCAUUUCUCAAAGUAUCAUUAUAAAUACAUGUGCAACUUAGAAAUCACAUAUCAGGUUUAAAAUGUAGGUUACAAACCAAAUUUUUUCCUUUUCAAUUUAAGGCAAGUGUGAAGUGAGUGGGCCAUAAACCAAAGGGGAAAAAUGAGGAUUCAUAAUGUACAGUACAGACCACCAAGGAAAUAAGUCCUACAACGCCAAUUUUGCGACGUAAAAUUUUACUCGAUACCAUCUACGUACAAAGGUUCAUCCAAACAAAGGAUGAGGUAUCACACAAUUUAUGAAAUUGCGUCGAGUGUGGUAGAAUUUGAGUAUUAUCAUGGCGUGCAAUAUUGAGUCAUCGAUCGUGGGACUGGAACGCAAUAAACGACAAAGUCCUCGUCCAGCUUCGGUGAACUUCGGAUAUGUUCCGACGGUUUCCCGAUGGAUAAACUCUUCGAGAGGAUGGCUCACAGUUCCGGAAGUUUCUGCAUCCACCAAAUUUUCAGGACACUCCUUCAAAUUGGAUAUAACAGAUUACCAAUAGGAGGAUUUCAAUACUCAACAGAAAACAAGAUAAUUUGAGUAUUUACAUCAAUAUGUGUAUGUUUAUUUACAAAUGAAAGUGUAACAGAAGUUUCAA
Molecule: long non-coding RNA, 793 nt
Organism: Pocillopora damicornis (cauliflower coral)
Lineage: Eukaryota; Metazoa; Cnidaria; Anthozoa; Scleractinia; Pocilloporidae
Source: RefSeq, a predicted model, not a curated record